RNAcentral lists this ribosomal RNA (2912 nucleotides) under Pseudomonas aeruginosa. Its description in RNAcentral is "23S ribosomal RNA". It matches the Rfam family "Bacterial large subunit ribosomal RNA". The record is from RNAcentral. Lineage: Bacteria; Pseudomonadati; Pseudomonadota; Gammaproteobacteria; Pseudomonadales; Pseudomonadaceae.
GUUAUAUGGUCAAGUGAAGAAGCGCAUACGGUGGAUGCCUUGGCAGUCAGAGGCGAUGAAAGACGUGGUAGCCUGCGAUAAGCUUCGGGGAGUCGGCAAACAGACUUUGAUCCGGAGAUCUCUGAAUGGGGGAACCCACCUAGGAUAACCUAGGUAUCUUGUACUGAAUCCAUAGGUGCAAGAGGCGAACCAGGGGAACUGAAACAUCUAAGUACCCUGAGGAAAAGAAAUCAACCGAGAUUCCCUUAGUAGUGGCGAGCGAACGGGGAYUAGCCCUUAAGCUUCAUUGAUUUUAGCGGAACGCUCUGGAAAGUGCGGCCAUAGUGGGUGAUAGCCCYGUACGCGAAAGGAUCUUUGAAGUGAAAUCGAGUAGGACGGAGCACGAGAAACUUUGUCUGAACAUGGGGGGACCAUCCUCCAAGGCUAAAUACUACUGACUGACCGAUAGUGAACCAGUACCGUGAGGGAAAGGCGAAAAGAACCCCGGAGAGGGGAGUGAAAUAGAACCUGAAACCGUAUGCGUACAAGCAGUGGGAGCCUACUUGUUAGGUGACUGCGUACCUUUUGUAUAAUGGGUCAGCGACUUAUAUUCAGUGGCGAGCUUAACCGAAUAGGGUAGGCGUAGCGAAAGCGAGUCUUAAUAGGGCGUUUAGUCGCUGGGUAUAGACCCGAAACCGGGCGAUCUAUCCAUGAGCAGGUUGAAGGUUAGGUAACACUGACUGGAGGACCGAACCCACUCCCGUUGAAAAGGUAGGGGAUGACUUGUGGAUCGGAGUGAAAGGCUAAUCAAGCUCGGAGAUAGCUGGUUCUCCUCGAAAGCUAUUUAGGUAGCGCCUCAUGUAUCACUCUGGGGGGUAGAGCACUGUUUCGGCUAGGGGGUCAUCCCGACUUACCAAACCGAUGCAAACUCCGAAUACCCRGAAGUGCCGAGCAUGGGAGACACACGGCGGGUGCUAACGUCCGUCGUGAAAAGGGAAACAACCCAGACCGCCAGCUAAGGUCCCAAAGUUGUGGUUAAGUGGUAAACGAUGUGGGAAGGCUUAGACAGCUAGGAGGUUGGCUUAGAAGCAGCCAUCCUUUAAAGAAAGCGUAAUAGCUCACUAGUCGAGUCGGCCUGCGCGGAAGAUGUAACGGGGCUCAAACCACACACCGAAGCUGCGGGUGUCACGUAAGUGACGCGGUAGAGGAGCGUUCUGUAAGCCUGUGAAGGUGAGUUGAGAAGCUUGCUGGAGGUAUCAGAAGUGCGAAUGCUGACAUGAGUAACGACAAUGGGUGUGAAAAACACCCACGCCGAAAGACCAAGGGUUCCUGCGCAACGUUAAUCGACGCAGGGUUAGUCGGUUCCUAAGGCGAGGCUGAAAAGCGUAGUCGAUGGGAAACAGGUUAAUAUUCCUGUACUUCUGGUUACUGCGAUGGAGGGACGGAGAAGGCUAGGCCAGCUUGGCGUUGGUUGUCCAAGUUUAAGGUGGUAGGCUGAAAUCUUAGGUAAAUCCGGGGUUUCAAGGCCGAGAGCUGAUGACGAGUCGUCUUUUAGAUGACGAAGUGGUUGAUGCCAUGCUUCCAAGAAAAGCUUCUAAGCUUCAGGUAACCAGGAACCGUACCCCAAACCGACACAGGUGGUCGGGUAGAGAAUACCAAGGCGCUUGAGAGAACUCGGGUGAAGGAACUAGGCAAAAUGGCACCGUAACUUCGGGAGAAGGUGCGCCGGCUAGGGUGAAGGAUUUACUCCGUAAGCUCUGGCUGGUCGAAGAUACCAGGCCGCUGCGACUGUUUAUUAAAAACACAGCACUCUGCAAACACGAAAGUGGACGUAUAGGGUGUGACGCCUGCCCGGUGCCGGAAGGUUAAUUGAUGGGGUUAGCGCAAGCGAAGCUCUUGAUCGAAGCCCCGGUAAACGGCGGCCGUAACUAUAACGGUCCUAAGGUAGCGAAAUUCCUUGUCGGGUAAGUUCCGACCUGCACGAAUGGCGUAACGAUGGCGGCGCUGUCUCCACCCGAGACUCAGUGAAAUUGAAAUCGCUGUGAAGAUGCAGUGUAUCCGCGGCUAGACGGAAAGACCCCGUGAACCUUUACUGUAGCUUUGCACUGGACUUUGAGCCUGCUUGUGUAGGAUAGGUGGGAGGCUUUGAAGCGUGGACGCCAGUUCGCGUGGAGCCAUCCUUGAAAUACCACCCUGGCAUGCUUGAGGUUCUAACUCUGGUCCGUGAUCCGGAUCGAGGACAGUGUAUGGUGGGCAGUUUGACUGGGGCGGUCUCCUCCUAAAGAGUAACGGAGGAGUACGAAGGUGCGCUCAGACCGGUCGGAAAUCGGUCGCAGAGUAUAAAGGCAAAAGCGCGCUUGACUGCGAGACAGACACGUCGAGCAGGUACGAAAGUAGGUCUUAGUGAUCCGGUGGUUCUGUAUGGAAGGGCCAUCGCUCAACGGAUAAAAGGUACUCCGGGGAUAACAGGCUGAUACCGCCCAAGAGUUCAUAUCGACGGCGGUGUUUGGCACCUCGAUGUCGGCUCAUCACAUCCUGGGGCUGAAGCCGGUCCCAAGGGUAUGGCUGUUCGCCAUUUAAAGUGGUACGCGAGCUGGGUUUAGAACGUCGUGAGACAGUUCGGUCCCUAUCUGCCGUGGACGUUUGAGAUUUGAGAGGGGCUGCUCCUAGUACGAGAGGACCGGAGUGGACGAACCUCUGGUGUUCCGGUUGUCACGCCAGUGGCAUUGCCGGGUAGCUAUGUUCGGAAAAGAUAACCGCUGAAAGCAUCUAAGCGGGAAACUUGCCUCAAGAUGAGAUCUCACUGGGAACUUGAUUCCCCUGAAGGGCCGUCGAAGACUACGACGUUGAUAGGCUGGGUGUGUAAGCGUUGUGAGGCGUUGAGCUAACCAGUACUAAUUGCCCGUGAGGCUUGACCAUAUAACACCCAAACA